This 309-nucleotide ribosomal RNA is filed under the name Phoenicolacerta laevis (Lebanon lizard). RNAcentral's name for it is "partial 12S ribosomal RNA". It matches the Rfam family "Bacterial small subunit ribosomal RNA", at positions 869 to 1343 of the family's 1533-position model. The record is from RNAcentral. Lineage: Eukaryota; Metazoa; Chordata; Lepidosauria; Squamata; Lacertidae.
CCGCCAGAGAACUACAAGUGAAAAACUUAAAACUCAAAGGACUUGACGGUGUCCCAUAUCAACCUAGAGGAGCCUGUCCUAUAAUCGAUACCCCUCGCUCCACCCUACCUUAACUAGCAAAACUCAGCCUAUAUACCGCCGUCGACCAGCCUACCCUAUGAAGGUCUAAUAGUAGACAUAAUAGUCACACCACUAGUACGUCAGGUCAAGGUGUAGCAAAUGUUAAGGAAGUGAUUGGCUACAUUUUUUAUGAUAAAAAAUACGGAAUGCAUUAUGAAACCGCUCAUGAAGGUGAAUUUAGUAGUAAAG